UUUUGUUCCUCAUUGCAAAGUUAGAGUUGAAGUGGAAUAAAUGAGAGCAUCACUAAAUGACACAAGAUAAAGUAACAAAACAUACGUCUUUCUUGUUUCAUAGAGUAUUCGUGGAAUUGAAAAACUAAACCGAAAGUUUGGAUUCUACCCUCCCUCCCCAAUAUAAAAUAUUGAAGUUUGUAGCUCUGCAAGAUGGUGACCAUCAAUAGACAGUGCUCUGUAAGUACCUUGCUCUUGUGCACUCCUCCUUCACAAGUAACAUUCUCCUGCACGCUCAGCUUCAGAAGAAGACAUAAUCAGAAAUGUGACAGUAUUUAAAGAGGAUAUGGAGAGCAGUUGGGGGGAGACCGUUACUGAAGUACGGAGAGCCAGACCCUCUGUUUUUGGUGCAUUCAACAUAAUGAUAGAGGUAAUGUCUUGCCCUCCUGUCCUUUAUUAGAUCCCUAACUAAGGUCAAAACCGAAAUCUACUGAGAUACAUCGAAUGUCUUAAAGUACA
Molecule: long non-coding RNA, 498 nt
Filed under: Calidris pugnax (ruff)
Lineage: Eukaryota; Metazoa; Chordata; Aves; Charadriiformes; Scolopacidae
Description: lncRNA (ENSCPUG00000007799.1)
Source: RNAcentral